CCGUAGCUCAAUUGGAUAGAGCAUCUGACUACGGAUCAGAAGGUUGUGAGUUCGAAUCCCGCCGGG
Molecule: transfer RNA, 66 nt
Filed under: human gut metagenome
Also listed under: 3 other names
Rfam family: tRNA
About the family: Transfer RNA (tRNA) molecules are approximately 80 nucleotides in length. Their secondary structure includes four short double-helical elements and three loops (D, anti-codon, and T loops).
Source: RNAcentral